AGAGUUUGAUCCUGGCUCAGAAUGAACGUUGGCGGCGUGGAUUAGGCAUGCAAGUCGAGCGUGUACCCCGCAAGGGGGAAAGCGGCGUAAGGGAGAGUAAUACGUAGAUACGUGCCUUCAGGUCCGGGAUAGCCACGGGAAACUGUGGGUAAUACCGGAUAAUGUCUAAGGACCAAAGGUGAGAUUCCACCUGAAGAUCGGUCUGCGUCCUAUCAGCUUGUUGGUGAGGUAAUGGCUCACCAAGGCUACUACGGGUACGGGGUGUGAGAGCAUGCCCCCGCUCACUGGGACUGAGACACUGCCCAGACACCUACGGGUGGCUGCAGUCGAGGAUCUUCGGCAAUGGGCGCAAGCCUGACCGAGCGACGCCGCGUGCGGGAUGAAGGCCUUCGGGUUGUAAACCGCUGUCAGUGGGGAGGAAGGCCCUGUAAGAAGCAGGGUUUGACCUAUCCGCAGAGGAAGUGUGGGCAGUUCGUGCAGCAGCCGCGGUAAGAC
Molecule: ribosomal RNA, 495 nt
Filed under: uncultured bacterium
Lineage: Bacteria
Description: bacterial SSU rRNA
Rfam family: Bacterial small subunit ribosomal RNA
Source: RNAcentral